CUACACAUGUGCCGGAGGAGCGA
RNAcentral lists this non-coding RNA (23 nucleotides) under Arabidopsis thaliana (thale cress). The record is from RNAcentral. Lineage: Eukaryota; Viridiplantae; Streptophyta; Magnoliopsida; Brassicales; Brassicaceae.